Long non-coding RNA from Acipenser ruthenus (sterlet), 328 nucleotides. RefSeq lists it as uncharacterized. NCBI's taxonomy places the organism in Eukaryota, Metazoa, Chordata, Actinopteri, Acipenseriformes, Acipenseridae. The transcript is spliced from 3 exons. The record is from RefSeq and is a predicted model, not a curated record.
CAGCAUUCGUCCACUUUGGAGGAAUCAAACUCACUUCAAGAGUCUCAAGAACACAUACACCUUUGCUCUAAGAAUAAUUAAUGGUAGUAAAAGCACCAUAAUCAGUGACGCCCUGCUAGUCCUUGAAAAGCAGGGAGAUCAUGAUGAUCCUAUCCAUUCGGAAGAGACCUAUGAUGAGGCCAAGGUGCCAGAGCACAGUGAUGACACCGAGAACUAAUGAGGAGGCUGGGGAGAAUGAUCACUUUGUGGCGGUUUGCUGGGAGCUGUUUUUUAAGGCAAUCCAUAGAGACCAAGGCAUCGUGGAUAAUGCAUCUCCCCCUGGAUUCAC